Molecule: long non-coding RNA, 383 nt
Organism: Balaenoptera acutorostrata (minke whale)
Lineage: Eukaryota; Metazoa; Chordata; Mammalia; Artiodactyla; Balaenopteridae
Exons: 3
Source: RefSeq, a predicted model, not a curated record
UUGAAGCAGGGCAGCCCUUCGGGGCAUGUGUGCUGCUCUUCAAGGAGGAGAGGUGGUCUGCAGGGAGAAGAGAGCAAAAGUCCAAGGGGCCAAGGGAGGGAGAUCAGGUUUUCCUUGGUUCUUGCCAGGUUUUCUGCUUCUGAUCCCUCAUGAAGCUUUGGACAUAAGGUCCCUCUCUAUUCCUUUACCUUGAGAAAGCUCCAUUGGGCAUACCAUGCUUAUUGCAUCCAAAAUUUUUCACAUGAAAGUGGAAAACUCAGAUAGCAAUUUGGUGUGUUGGUGGAAGGACCCAAUAAAAAGCAUGUCAGGAUAAGUGCUUUGGAGGAAAAGCAAGACUUCAUCCAAUCAUCAGUAGAAAGCCUUGGUGGCUGCAGUUUCUGUGA